AGUCCCAUAAGAUGGCAACUGGUAAUGCUGGGCCUGCUACAGACCGUUUAUGAACACACACAGCUCCUGCUGCACCACAGAAGGCAGUGAGAAUAAAUACGUGUUGCCUUCUGGGCUCCACUGAUGACCCUGAGUGAGCAUGUAAUGUGUCCCAUAUCUGGAAGGAGCUGAAACCUGUGUCAGUGUCCACGGUGUUUGAAUAGUCUGGUUUUAAUAGAAACAUGAAAACGCCAUAUGGAGCCAGACAACCAUUUCCUUCCUUCAGUGUGUUUGAAAUAGAGUGGCCUGGAUUGGUCCUUGAUAUGCAAUUACUUCACGGAGUACACAGGACUACAGCACGAGUAUUGGAGUCAUUAACUGAAGUGAUCAUCAUUAAAAAAGAGCACCAUUAG
This 392-nucleotide long non-coding RNA is filed under the name Coturnix japonica (Japanese quail). RNAcentral describes it as "lncRNA (ENSCJPG00005002998.1)". The record is from RNAcentral. Lineage: Eukaryota; Metazoa; Chordata; Aves; Galliformes; Phasianidae.